Molecule: ribosomal RNA, 328 nt
Filed under: uncultured bacterium
Lineage: Bacteria
Description: bacterial SSU rRNA
Rfam family: Bacterial small subunit ribosomal RNA
Source: RNAcentral
GAUGAACGCUGGCGGCGUGCCUAACACAUGCAAGUCGAACGAAGCUUGACGAAUGAUUUUUUCGGAAUGAAUUCUGAUAUGACUUAGUGGCGGACGGGUGAGUAACACGUGAGCAACCUGCCUUUCUAGAGGGGGAGUAACGGCUGGAAACGGUCGCUAAUACCGCAUAAGACCACAGCACCGCAUGGUGCAGGGGUAAAAACUACCGGUGGUAUGAGAUGGAUCCGCGUCUGAUUAGCUAGUUGGUAAGGUAACGGCUUACCAAGGCAACGAUCAGUAGCCGACCUGAGAGGGUGACCGGCCACAUUGGGACUGAGACACGGCCCAA